RNAcentral lists this long non-coding RNA (218 nucleotides) under Lathyrus oleraceus (garden pea). Its description in RNAcentral is "Pisum sativum (pea) long non-coding RNA (PSAT_LNC026944)". The record is from RNAcentral. Lineage: Eukaryota; Viridiplantae; Streptophyta; Magnoliopsida; Fabales; Fabaceae.
AAGAGGCAAAGAGAUUGGUCAUGUUCCCAUUCACGUUAUCUGAGGAUGCUGAGGAAUGGUUCUAUUCCCUACCCGCAGGAAGCAUUACUACUUGGCAACAAAAUGGAAACAGCAUUCUUGAACGAGUAUUUUCCUGCUUCUGUGUAUAUCCGUAAGAGGUAUGACAUUGUGAAUUUUAAACAGAAAGACGGAGAGACACUUGGAGAUACAUACAAAAG